CCUACGGGGGGCUGCAGUGGGGAAUAUUGGACAAUGGGGGGAACCCUGAUCCAGCCAUGCCGCGUGUGUGAAGAAGGCCCUCGGGUUGUAAAGCACUUUCAGUGAGGAAGAACGCCUGGUGGUUAAUACCCAUCAGGAAAGACAUCACUCACAGAAGAAGCACCGGCUAACUCCGUGCCAGCAGCCGCGGUAAUACGGAGGGUGCGAGCGUUAAUCGGAAUUACUGGGCGUAAAGCGCGCGUAGGUGGCUUGAUAAGCCGGUUGUAAAAGCCCCGGGCUCAACCUGGGAACGGCAUCCGGAACUGUCAAGCUAGAGUGCAGGAGAGGAAGGUAGAAUUCCCGGUGUAGCGGUGAAAUGCGUAGAGAUCGGGAGGAAUACCAGUGGCGAAGGCGGCCUUCUGGACUGACACUGACACUGAGGUGCGAAAGCGUGGGUAGCAAACAGGAUUAGAUACCCCAGUAGUC
This 465-nucleotide ribosomal RNA is filed under the name Vreelandella stevensii. RNAcentral describes it as "partial 16S ribosomal RNA". It matches the Rfam family "Bacterial small subunit ribosomal RNA", at positions 338 to 795 of the family's 1533-position model. Lineage: Bacteria; Pseudomonadati; Pseudomonadota; Gammaproteobacteria; Oceanospirillales; Halomonadaceae. The record is from RNAcentral.